GCUCACUUUGGCAAAACAUAUAUUAAAAUUGGAAUGAUACAUAGAAGAUUAGCAUGGCCCCUGCACAAGGAUGACACGCAAAUUCCUGAAGUGUUCCAUAUUAUA
Molecule: small nuclear RNA, 105 nt
Organism: Marmota monax (woodchuck)
Lineage: Eukaryota; Metazoa; Chordata; Mammalia; Rodentia; Sciuridae
Source: RefSeq, a predicted model, not a curated record